GGCGCGGGGGUCUGCGCAGGCGCGUGGAGUCCGACUUCCCUGGAGGAAGCUUGGGCUGCGGCGGAGCGGAGGGUUUCCGCAGGCGGAGGCGGUAGGGACCCGACCCCGAGGGUCCGCCCUGCGGUGCUGGCUCCAGGCGGCCAGGAGCUCAGACCCCCUCAGCAGCUCCGGAUCACAGACAGGGUGACCGCGCCAAGGGUGCCGCCGGGGUCCCCCGUCCCCGCGAGAGAAAGGCAGAGACACAGGCAGAGGAGAGGCCGGCCCCAUGCGGGGAGCCCGGUGUGGACUGGAUCCCCGUCUGGGCAUCAUGCCCACAGCUGAAAGCAGACGCCCAACCUCCGAGCCACCCAGGUCUCCCAAGAGUUGGACACUUAACCAACUAAGCCACCAGGUGCCCCCAUCACUCCCUUUUUUUUAAGCUCAGAUAACCAGGGAUCUUUUUUUUCAGUGCUAGGAUGAGUUGCCGUAUCUAUAUGCACAUUAAGUUUUUUAUUAUAAGAUAUUUGUAACAAAAGUUAGCAUUUUCAUCAUUUUCAGGGGUGUGGUUCUGUGGCAUUAAGUACAUUCCCAUUUUACAGCCAUCACCAGGAUGUAGCCACAGAACUUUUAUCUGACACUGAAAGUCCUCGCCAUUAAACCAUGACUCCCAGUUUCCCCUUCCUGUUGUAAACACUUUUACCUUUAAAAUGGCUCCAAUUUCAGUGGAGUUGUGACAUUCAGAAUGAGUUCUACCACCACCCAGUUAUCUUCCAGGAAGUGUUAGGAGUUAGCCCGAGCUUUGUGUAUCUUUCUAUCACCAGUUUAUGCUUGAUAAAUGGCAAGACCUUUUUUCCCCGUGUAGGUGCCUCUUGGAGAUCACCCUAAUUCAGAACAGAAGUGCUCCCUGGUUCUGGUGUCUCUGCCUUAAUUUUUACUACUCACCUCCUGUUGGAGCACAGUUAUGUGGUGACCAAUUUUUUAGUAGGAUAAGCUGCUUUUUGUGUAGGAGAAAUUUCAGGAAUGGGAAUCACCUGGCCAAGUAGCAUGUGUCAGACACAGAGAGAGAGAGAAGAGGCAGAGACACAGGCAGAGGGAGAAGCAGGCUCCAUGCAGGGAACCCAACGUGGGACUCGAUCCCAGGUCUCCAGGAUCACACCCCAGGCUGCAGGCAGCGCUAAACCGCUGAGCCACUGGGGCUGCCCAUGUCAGGUAGUUCUGAUAGCUGUUGGCAAGUUCCUGGAAGGAUGUUGAAUCAGUUGUUGAAGCGUGGCCACCAAAGUGUAGAAGUAUGCACGCCUUCAGCGCACAGCUCAUCAGUCUGAUGGUGAAAAAUAGUAUCUCGUUGUUUACAUUUGCAUUUCUGAUGGUUAUUGUUUCAGGUUUUUCUUGCAAUUGUGUUUCUGUUUUGUGCAAAGCCACUAAAACGUGUUCUGAAAGACUGAUGAUAGAUUGCUGUGGGCUGCAGUCACGGUAUAUUCUCUGAAGACAGGUCACCUGUGAGCCUCGGUUUCUGCCGCGGUUGUGGUGCAAAGGACAGCACGGACAUCUAUUAAGACAACAGAGUUCGGAUGCCUGGGUGGCUCAGUGGUUGAGGGUCUACCUCUGGCUCAGGGUGUGAUUUCCAAGAUCCAGGAUCGAGUUCUGUGUCAGGCUCCCUGCAAGGACCCUGCUUCUCCCUUUGCCUAUGUCUGCCUCUCUCUGUAUGUCUCUCAUGAAUAAAUAAAUAAAUAAAAUCUUAAAAAAAAAAAAAAGGCAACAGAGCGAACCGCCUCCCCAAGUUCCUAUGUUGGACCACGCCCAGUGUGAUGGUGUCAGGAGGUGGGUGGGAGCCUCAUGAUGGGAGUAGAGCCCUGAGGGCAGAGCCCCAAGAGGGCGCGCCUAUGCCCCAUCUGCCCUUGUGAGGACAUAGUAAGGGGACACCGUCUGUGAAUCAGGAAGCAGGUCCUCCGCAGACACAGGACCAGCCAAGACCCUGGGCUUGGACUUGUAGCCCCUUGGGGCUGCAAGAGAUCAGUGGCGGUUUAUGAACCUCCUCCUGCCCCUGUCUGUGGUAUCUUUUGUUACAGAAGCCUGAAAAGACCAAGACCAUAUUGUAUAUACAUGAUUUUAAACUCAGUUACCAAGCCGUUUCCAUACUCACCACCUCCAGGUUUUGGUUCAUCAAAGGCACCCCUUCCUUCUUCCUUCCCUCCCUCCCUUCUUUUUAGAUUUAUUUAUUAUAUUUUUUUUGAUUAUUUAUUUAUUUAUUAUA
This is a long non-coding RNA of Canis lupus familiaris (dog), 2230 nucleotides long. RefSeq lists it as uncharacterized. The record is from RefSeq and is a predicted model, not a curated record. NCBI's taxonomy places the organism in Eukaryota, Metazoa, Chordata, Mammalia, Carnivora, Canidae. The transcript has 3 exons.